RNAcentral lists this ribosomal RNA (404 nucleotides) under uncultured bacterium. Its description in RNAcentral is "bacterial SSU rRNA". It matches the Rfam family "Bacterial small subunit ribosomal RNA", at positions 355 to 776 of the family's 1533-position model. The record is from RNAcentral.
UGGGGAAUAUUGGACAAUGGGCGCAAGCCUGAUCCAGCCAUGCCGCGUGAGUGAUGAAGGCCUUCGGGUUGUAAAGCUCUUUCACCGGUGACGAUGAUGACGGUAGCCGGCGAAGAAGCCCCGGCUAACUCCGUGCCAGCAGCCGCGGUAAUACGGAGGGGGCGAGCGUUGUUCGGAAUUACUGGGCGUAAAGGGCGCGUAGGCGGCCUGUUGCGUCGGGUGUGAAAGCCCCGGGCUCAACCUGGGAGGUGCACUCGAAACGGGCAGGCUAGAAACCGAGAGAGGAUCGUGGAAUUCCCAGUGUAGAGGUGAAAUUCGUAGAUAUUGGGAAGAACACCAGAGGCGAAGGCGGCGAUCUGGCUCGGUUUUGACGCUGAGGCGCGACAGCGUGGGGAGCAAACAGG